CCUUCGGGUCUAGUGGCGCACGGGUGCGUAACGCGUGGGAAUCUGCCCUUAGGUACGGAAUAACUCAGAGAAAUUUGUGCUAAUACCGUAUGAUGUCGAAAGACCAAAGAUUUAUCGCCUAAGGAUGAGCCCGCGUAAGAUUAGCUUGUUGGUGAGGUAAAAGCUCACCAAGGCGACGAUCUUUAGCUGGUCUGAGAGGAUGAUCAGCCACACUGGGACUGAGACACGGCCCAGACUCCUACGGGAGGCAGCAGUGGGGAAUAUUGGACAAUGGGCGAAAGCCUGAUCCAGCAAUGCCGCGUGAGUGAUGAAGGCCUUAGGGUUGUAAAGCUCUUUUACCAGGGAUGAUAAUGACAGUACCUGGAGAAUAAGCUCCGGCUAACUCCGUGCCAGCAGCCGCGGUAAUACGGAGGGAGCUAGCGUUGUUCGGAAUUACUGGGCGUAAAGAGUACGUAGGCGGUGAUUCAAGUCAGAGGUGAAAGCCUGGAGCUCAACUCCAGAACUGCCUUUGAAACUAGAUCGCUAGAAUUAUGGAGAGGUUAGUGGAAUUCCGAGUGUAGAGGUGAAAUUCGUAGAUAUUCGGAAGAACACCAGUGGCGAAGGCGACUAACUGGACAUAUAUUGACGCUGAGGUAC
RNAcentral lists this ribosomal RNA (636 nucleotides) under uncultured bacterium. RNAcentral describes it as "bacterial SSU rRNA". It matches the Rfam family "Bacterial small subunit ribosomal RNA", at positions 83 to 754 of the family's 1533-position model. The record is from RNAcentral.